UCUUAGCCUGCUAAGACUGAUGGCGACCGGCGCACGGGUGCGUAACGCGUAUGCAACUUGCCUCACAGAGGGGGAUAACCCGUCGAAAGACGGACUAAUACCGCGUACACUCUAUGUUGGGCAUCCAAUGUAGAGGAAAUGAAAUUCGCUGUGAGAUAGGCAUGCGUCCCAUUAGCUAGUUGGUGAGGUAACGGCUCACCAAGGCGACGAUGGGUAGGGGAACUGAGAGGUUGAACCCCCACACUGGUACUGAGACACGGACCAGACUCCUACGGGAGGCAGCAGUGAGGAAUAUUGGUCAAUGGGCGAGAGCCUGAACCAGCCAAGUCGCGUGAAGGAUGACUGUCUUAUGGAUUGUAAACUUCUUUUAUACGGGAAUAACAAGAGUCACGUGUGGCUCCCUGCAUGUACCGUAUGAAUAAGCAUCGGCUAACUCCGUGCCAGCAGCCGCGGUAAUACGGAGGAUGCGAGCGUUAUCCGGAUUUAUUGGGUUUAAAGGGUGCGUAGGCGGCCUGUUAAGUCAGCGGUGAAAUCUAGGAGCUUAACUCCUAAAUUGCCAUUGAUACUGGCGGGCUUGAGUGUAGAUGAGGUAGGCGGAAUGCGUGGUGUAGCGGUGGAAUGCAUAGAUAUCACGCAGAACUCCGAUUGCGAAGGCAGCUUACUAAGGUACAACUGACGCUGAAGCACGAAAGCGUGGGUAUCAAACAGGAUUAGAUACCCUGGUAGUCCACGCAGUAAACGAUGAUAACUGGGCGUAUGCGAUAUACAGU
Molecule: ribosomal RNA, 770 nt
Filed under: uncultured Porphyromonadaceae bacterium
Lineage: Bacteria; Pseudomonadati; Bacteroidota; Bacteroidia; Bacteroidales; Porphyromonadaceae
Description: bacterial SSU rRNA
Rfam family: Bacterial small subunit ribosomal RNA
Source: RNAcentral